Molecule: ribosomal RNA, 430 nt
Filed under: bacterium
Lineage: Bacteria
Description: partial 16S ribosomal RNA
Rfam family: Bacterial small subunit ribosomal RNA
Source: RNAcentral
UGGGGAAUAUUGGACAAUGGGCGGAAGCCUGAUCCAGCCAUGCCGCGUGUGUGAAGAAGGCCUUUUGGUUGUAAAGCACUUUAAGCGAGGAGGAGGCUACUUGGAUUAAUACUCUAGGAUAGUGGACGUUACUCGCAGAAUAAGCACCGGCUAACUCUGUGCCAGCAGCCGCGGUAAUACAGAGGGUGCGAGCAUUAAUCGGAUUUACUGGGCGUAAAGCGUGCGUAGGCGGCUUCUUAAGUCGGAUGUGAAAUCCCUGAGCUUAACUUAGGAAUUGCAUUCGAUACUGGGAAGCUAGAGUAUGGGAGAGGAUGGUAGAAUUCCAGGUGUAGCGGUGAAAUGCGUAGAGAUCUGGAGGAAUACCGAUGGCGAAGGCAGCCAUCUGGCCUAAUACUGACGCUGAGGUACGAAAGCAUGGGGAGCAAACAGG